UAAAACUCACAUACAUGGUUUCAAUAAAACUCUGGAUUUUUUGAUUCGAAUACAAAUAGAUAAUGAAUCAAAAGCCAAACUAUAUAUAUUAUUUUUUAUUUUUUACGGAUAAAGUUGAGCGAAAUAUUCAUAAAUUUUGAUUCGAUUCGUUAUCCGUUUUGAUUUGAACCAAAAAUCUAGAUAUUCAUAACUCCACGAAACAAAUCAAAUACUAAACUACAAUAUCCAAA
This 230-nucleotide long non-coding RNA is filed under the name Brassica rapa (field mustard). Its description in RNAcentral is "long non-coding RNA (BRAP_LNC004284)". The record is from RNAcentral. Lineage: Eukaryota; Viridiplantae; Streptophyta; Magnoliopsida; Brassicales; Brassicaceae.